Non-coding RNA from Chrysemys picta bellii (western painted turtle), 1295 nucleotides. NCBI's taxonomy places the organism in Eukaryota, Metazoa, Chordata, Testudines, Emydidae. The record is from RefSeq and is a predicted model, not a curated record.
UUUAUUGGAGUUUUGGGGGGGUUACCAGGGAGUGAAGCUUGAAUGCUUCCAAACUAAUGGGGGUCAAAGUGCUUUGCGCUGACUGUUGGGGGCACAUGAGGAUAAAUAUUGGCCGCGGAGCUGCUGUUAGUCUCCAGCCUCUGAGAUGACCAGAUACAAACCUUUUUUUAAAAAAAAUCCUGAGUGUUAGGAACAGAACCAAGUCCAUCGAAUCCUUCCUGUGUUUCCGUAUGGAAAAGAUGACCUUGUGUGGGGUGUGCCUGGCUUCCUGCAUCACGGGGCAGGCUGACACCUGACUGCACUGCAUGGUUGGCAAAACAUGAUUUUUCUACUUGUAGAAAUUUGCUUGCAAUGGUACUGUGAUUGAACACCCGGAAUAUGGAGAAGUGAUUCAGCUGCAAGGUGACCAGCGCAAGAACAUAUGCCAGUUCCUCAUCGAGAUUGGUCUGGCUAAAGACGACCAGCUGAAGGUCCAUGGGUUUUAAGUGCCUGUGGAUCUCUGACGCUUUAAGUGAGAGGACUGCCUUGCGAUGAGUAAAAUCCCAUUCUGUCCCUUGUCAUAAGUUUAAAGCCAGCUGGAUUGUGUAAUGUAACCAUCUGAAGUCCGCUGUUUAGUCUGGACUAGUAGUGUAACUCAGCGAUGUAAUAAACUGGCAAGAGCCAUGCUGUCUCGUCUUGCUGUCCCUCAUUUAAACCGAGGUAAAUCAGGCAGUGUCCAGCCUGAAGCUAAAAAUAACCAGAAGUUUGUGUUAAGUCCAGGGACUCAACAUGUCUGUCCAGAGACUGUCUGAAUCUCUCUUCAGUCCAGCUUCCUUUCCAUUUAAAUGGACUUUAAUACUUGAGGUGCCUGUUGUGGUCCUACAUGGCAUGAGGCACCAAACAUGAGCUGUGACACUGAAUGGGGAAAUAGCAUCCUGUAGGCAGGGCCUGCUUCUGGAGGUGUCAAGGUCUGGCUGCAAACUGACUGACCAAGAAGAGUAACUGAAGAAAUCUGCCUUAGGAGAUACCUGGAAGAAGGGCUUCUCCAAGGCUGAAUGUCUCGACCUCAGGCCAAGUCAGCUGUUGGUAUCAUUAAACCCAAAGAUACGGGAAUAGAGUGCUCAAAGGAAACAUUACCUUGGGUUAAACUUUUGACAAGGGAUCAAUUUUGGAUCAUUGUAGCUAGAGCUGCAGAGCUUACAUGUUACUAGUAACUGCUGCCCAAUGCCCUGUGAAGCAACACAUUCUUCGUUUCAGUUUUAAUGUUGUAUGUAAUGUAUUUAAACCCUUAUUUAAAUAAAAAUGGUUUUCAAAAA